This 23-nucleotide small nuclear RNA is filed under the name Arabidopsis thaliana (thale cress). RNAcentral describes it as "snRNA_06815". Lineage: Eukaryota; Viridiplantae; Streptophyta; Magnoliopsida; Brassicales; Brassicaceae. The record is from RNAcentral.
UGAAGCGAUGGGAUCCAUUCAAU